GUACGCUGGUCGUUUGAUAUUUCCGUCGCCGAUUACCCGCAGACGUCGCGACCUGUUCGCGGUCGGUCCCUGCUCGGAGGAGCCGCGUUCGAGUUCGUUGCGUGUCGCGUUUCGGCGUGUCACGCGGUGAAGGCGCGGGUCUCUGGCUGGCCGUCGGACAGUACGCUUAACGGUGUCCGGUGUCGUCGUUUCGUACGCGCGUGCACCGGUACCGGUCAGCGACGAAUUCUUCGGGCCUCUUUCCGACCCGUCUUGAAACACGGACCAAGGAGUCUAACAUGCGCGCGAGUCGCGGGGUGUCGAGCGUACUUCGGUGCGUUCGUUACGUUGCGAAACCCGUACAUGUCGAAGGCGUAAUGAAAGUGAAUGGGGAAGAUGGUGUUCCGAGUACACGUUCCGCGAUCGUCGGUAUCGCGGCCGGGCACCCGCAUUCCCGGGGCGUCUCAACGGCCCGUCGCUGAUGCGGACAGUCGUCUCUCGGGGCGGCUGUCGGUCGGCGACGAACCGAGGCGCACCUAUAGCGUGCACGUUGGUACCCGAAAGAUGGUGAACUAUGCCUGGCCAGG
This 566-nucleotide ribosomal RNA is filed under the name Aspidiotus nerii (oleander scale). RNAcentral's name for it is "partial 28S ribosomal RNA". It matches the Rfam family "Eukaryotic large subunit ribosomal RNA", at positions 584 to 845 of the family's 3401-position model. The record is from RNAcentral. Lineage: Eukaryota; Metazoa; Arthropoda; Insecta; Hemiptera; Diaspididae.